Molecule: non-coding RNA, 4523 nt
Organism: Arachis ipaensis
Lineage: Eukaryota; Viridiplantae; Streptophyta; Magnoliopsida; Fabales; Fabaceae
Source: RefSeq, a predicted model, not a curated record
GGGGGCUAAAGACCCAACAUAAACAUAAAAUUAGCUAACCCAAAUCUUAGAGAAAGACACUCCUCUACUAUCAGCAUUCAAGAAGGGGACAAGAACGAGGAGAGGGACAUUGAACAGUGUAUUCCCAUCGACAAGUUCCGAGCAUAUUUAGAGAGAAAAUAUCUGUGAUAAAAUUCGCCUCUCAAAGCACAUGGUGGAUGACACAAUUUACCAUUCUUGAUUGAAGGUUCUUUAUUACAUGGAUUAGAGCCGAGCUAUCAUGGAAGGGGUUGGACUCAUUCUGCAGGAGCUGGGUAGCGCACGCAGAGUCGAACUCAACCUUCACCCUAUCAAUUCCCAGAUCGAUCACCAAUUGGAGGCCAUUGUAGACAGCCUAGAGCUCAGCGGUUGUUUUGGACUCAAAUGGCUGCGAAUAGGCGAGGACGCCCUCGACUGGAGGGAACAAGUGAGGGAACCCUCCUUGAUGCAACGGCUAUUCUCGAGUCUAUAAACGCUAUGGCCGCUUCUGUACGUGAUUCAGUAGCUGCUACUAACCGAGUAGCUGAACGUCUUGAUUGCCACAAUGAAACUGAAAAUAACCAUGAGCUUAGACAUGGAAAUGGAAAUGGCGACGAAGGCGAAGGUGAACUACGUAAUGAUAAUUAGCCAAUGACCGUAGCCUCUUUCUUAAAGAUCAAUUCACCGCAGUUUAAUGGAAACACUAGUGCGACGCGAGCUGACGACUGGUUUAAGGAAAUAGGACGAGCACUACGAGCCCAACAAGUCCUCGAGGCACAAGUGUAGAGUUUGCUACCUACAUGCUAAGGAACGACGCGCAACAUUGGUGGCAGGGUUGCUUCAACUAUUGGGAAGAGAAGCUGAUAACAUCACUUGGGAGGAAUUUUCAACUGAAUUCUAUAAGAAAUAUUUUUCUCAAUGUUUUUGUACCGCUAACGAACUAGAGUUGCUUCAGUUGAGGCAGGAAAACGUGACAUUCACUGAGUAUACUCGCAAGUUUGAAGAGUUAUGUCGAUUCUCAAAUGUUUGUUAAGGAGCACCAACUGCAUUCGAGAAAUGGAAGUGCAUCAAGUUCGAAGGAGGACUUAGAGAAGAACUAUUAGCUCAUGUGGGCCCGAUGGAAAUAUAGAAUUUUGUGGAAUUAGUUAACAAGAGCCAACUGAUGGAGGAAUGUGUAAAGAAGCUGGUGGCAGCGCAAACUAACCACAUGAAUCUUUCAGCAAGGGAUUUCAAUCAUAACCUCGUUGCUCAAGGAAGAAACUUCAAAGUAACUCGGCAGCCAGACUUAGGCAAACAGCCGCAGCCAACCCAACUAAAAUUGACAUGCACUGUGUGUGGAAAGAAUCAUGGAGGCAAACCCUGUUUGUUGAAAUCUGGGAUUUGCUAUAAUUGCGGGAAGCCCGGACAUGUAGCUAAAGAAUGCAUACGACGAAGGCUGAAUUUGUUUUCCCUGGGCAACAACAGCCAGGAAGGGUGUUUGUUUUGGAUGCGGAAAAUACUACCGAAAUUGAUCCCCUCACUCAAGGUAACAAAAUUUUGAGGACAAUUUUUUUUAUAGGGGUAGAAUGUAACCACCCUAUCCCACGAGGCCUAUGAUUCCUCAUUAUAUAUAUGUAUGUAUAAAGCAUAGAUAGCGAAUUAGAAUUGGAACACGUAGCGCUAAAACUUUUUUUAGUGCUUUCGAAUGGCGAGUUUUGGUAAUUAGAUAACUACCGUUAUAGUUAAUUUAUUUCUUUUAAAAUUAACUACCUCUUAAUAAUUCAUAAGUAAUGAAUUAGUGGAGGAUUACCCUAGAUUCGUUACCAACCAUUUAACCCGAUUUUUUUUUCUUCCUCCCUUUCAAAGUCACAGUUUUUUUUCUUUUUCUCCUCCCGGUUCAACCGAACUAAGUUUCUUCUAAUUAAAUUAAAACCCAAGGGAACUCUGGUUAAGUUCAUUCCCUCUUCCCCUCUCACCACCGAACGCUACUUCAGAAGAAACCAUAGUCACUGCUUCAUUCAAGGAUUGCUGUGAAUUUGUGUUGCAAGGAGAGAAAGCCAUGAAGCUUUGCCACUCUAACUCAUCUUUCUCCAUCUUCUAUUGAUAUAUAUAUAGCAGAGCUAAACCUUUUUAAUUCCUCUGAAAACCACACGAAGAGAAGAAAGGAAGCAAAAGUAGCAUUUGAUCAAGGAAGGGAAGGAGGAAGACGUCAACAGCGUACAUCACCAUCAAGGAGAAAGGAGAAGACCAUCAAAGAAGCUGCAAUCCAAAGCCGAAGAAGAAACCUUACCCCCUUCUUCUUUCUGAUUCCCUUGGAGUUUUUCUCAUUAGCAUUUUUUGAAUUAAGGUAACAAAGGACAGGCCUUGAUUUUUGAAUUCUCGAAGGAAGGUAAGGGGUUAUGUGAUUAGAUUAGAUAUAUGUGUAGCUGACAGUUGUGAUAUUAUUGUUGAUGAUGAUUCUAUAUGAUUGUGUGUUAAUUGAUACUGGAAUUUUUUAGAGGAGUCAUAAAUUUGAUGUUGCAAUAGCUUGCUACAAUUCUACUAGUGUAUCAUGAAUUUGUUAAGUAAUUGUUGCUGAGUAUAGUGCAGAGUUUGAUAUUGUGAAGGUGUAAUGACAUGGUACUGAUAGUGUAAAUUUUUGGAAUAUAUGGAAUUGAGGCUCUUGGAGCUGUAAUCCAUAUGAAACAAGAAGAGAUGACCUAAAUGAAUUAGGAUCAAUGAUGUAUAAUAGUUAGGAUUUUAGGGAAGCAAUUUAGUGUUUACAAACUUACGUACCUAUGCUGCAGAAAUUCUGCAGAAUUUUGGACAGCAAAUUAAAAUAAAAACUGGGAGCAAUCUAGACGUGAUUUUCAAUCCAAAUUAUUUUUCUAUCAAAUUUCAAGAAGUCAAGAUUACUCCAUAAGAAUUUCAGAGAAUUUGGCCAAGUGGUUUGGAAGAUAUGAAUUUUCGAAAUUUAGUGAUGGCUGUAGAAUUUUCUGAUUUUCUGGUUCUGUAGUACCAACUUUCAGUUGCUAUAACUUUUUAUUUAUUUGAAAUUUUGAGUUACUCUCAAGAGAAUUUUAGAGAUAUAUCAAUCUAUUUUAAGUGAGUAUAAAUUUUAUGUCUAUAUCUAUUUUUUAGACUUAAUUAAGUCACUUGGAAGCUGGAUUGCUUGCUGGAAAUUCUGAACUGAUUUAUGAAAACAGGCACCACUUCCAAUUGACAAUUAAAUAAUCAAAUGAAGUGAUAUGAACUUGAAACUUGUGGAUUCUAAAACUUAGAGUUGUUGAGUAUAAUCUCACCAAAAUUUAGAAGCAACAGAUUAGAAUUGAAAUUAUUAUGGAUUUUAUAAAAACACUGCUGUUUGCUGUUUUCUGAAUCCUUAUAAGUGCAGUAGUAGAAUUUUAAAACUUUGUAUAAAAUUCAAUUCUAAUCCAAAUGCAGUAAAAUCUAAUUCAAAUUAAAGAUUAGAAUCUCUAGAAUGAUCUUAACAAGAGAGAUAGUCCGUGCAUAAGAUUUCACAACAUAAAAACCACAUAACAAGAUAGCAAGGUACUGUUCCAAAAAUCUAGAACAACUGUCUUGAUUUUUCUCCAAUAUCUAGCGUUAGAUUGCCCAGAAAGAUAUGAUUCUUAAUUCUUUAGAAAUUUGAGUUCAAUACAAACGCGUGGGCAUAAAGUUUGCGCGAAUCUAAGUCUGUUUGUUAUAUUAAUUAUUAAAUAGAAAAUUGAUCGCCAAGAAGGUAUUAGACUAAACAAGUUCGAAAAAUGAAUAAGAAUGUAAGUUGUCCCUAGGAAGGUUUAAAGUUAAAUAGUGAUGUGGAGGUACGUAUGAUAAAACGGUGAUGCAGAGGUACGCGUAAAUAAAUGGUGAUGUGGAGGCAUAAAGAAAAGAAAAGAAAAUGAGGAACAAUGAAUGAAACAAAAGUUGAGAAUUGUAUAUUGAAUGGGCCUUGUGCCAAAUUGCUAAUGCGAAAGUGCUCACCUGACUGAUAGCCUGAGAUUGCUAAUGCGGGAAUGUUCGCCUAAUUGAUAGCCUGUCUCUUACCGUGAUGCCAAGAUAUCCUAAUUGACAUGGGUUCGUCUAUGAUGAUAAUUGUGCCUAACUGAUACGGUAAAAGAGACCAUAUUUGGGGUUCUUCUCGAGUAACGUCGGGUUACGGGUAGACAACUGAUGCAUGAGCUCAUGGCUUGCGCUAGGAACAGAUGGGAUCGACAGAGGAGUCCGUUAAGUUUCGAGUUUCGGUGCAUCGCCCACGUUUCAAUCCCGGCAUGCCGUACAUGUUCACUCUAGCCGAAGACCAUUGCGAAGAUUGACCUAGCUGACUUUUUACUCCUUUUGACGAUCAGUAGUAUUACUUUUCCCUCACUUUUCUAGUACUUUUAGAGGGGUAGGACCUCUUAGUAGUUGGUUCCAGUUUAGAAAACUCGUGCGUGGGUUGGGACUAACUUUCUCUUUUGUAUUUAUAUAUAUAACUUGGUAUUGUUCUCAGCUUUUGAUAGAUGACAUGUAUCUCUAAGCUUAACUCCUGUGUAUAUUUGCAUAUAUGUAUAUAUGUUAUUUUCUGU